Molecule: ribosomal RNA, 887 nt
Filed under: Staphylococcus pasteuri
Lineage: Bacteria; Bacillati; Bacillota; Bacilli; Caryophanales; Staphylococcaceae
Description: bacterial SSU rRNA
Rfam family: Bacterial small subunit ribosomal RNA
Source: RNAcentral
AGGCAUGACAUGUCGUAUACAUGCAGUCGAGCGAACAGAUAAGGAGCUUGCUCCUUUGACGUUAGCGGCGGACGGGUGAGUAACACGUGGAUAACCUACCUAUAAGACUGGGAUAACUUCGGGAAACCGGAGCUAAUACCGGAUAAGAUUUUGAACCGCAUGGUUCAAUAGUGAAAGACGGCCUUGCUGUCACUUAUAGAUGGAUCCGCGCCGUAUUAGCUAGUUGGUAAGGUAACGGCUUACCAAGGCAACGAUACGUAGCCGACCUGAGAGGGUGAUCGGCCACACUGGAACUGAGACACGGUCCAGACUCCUACGGGAGGCAGCAGUAGGGAAUCUUCCGCAAUGGGCGAAAGCCUGACGGAGCAACGCCGCGUGAGUGAUGAAGGUCUUCGGAUCGUAAAACUCUGUUAUCAGGGAAGAACAAACGUGUAAGUAACUGUGCACGUCUUGACGGUACCUGAUCAGAAAGCCACGGCUAACUACGUGCCAGCAGCCGCGGUAAUACGUAGGUGGCAAGCGUUAUCCGGAAUUAUUGGGCGUAAAGCGCGCGUAGGCGGUUUUUUAAGUCUGAUGUGAAAGCCCACGGCUCAACCGUGGAGGGUCAUUGGAAACUGGAAAACUUGAGUGCAGAAGAGGAAAGUGGAAUUCCAUGUGUAGCGGUGAAAUGCGCAGAGAUAUGGAGGAACACCAGUGGCGAAGGCGACUUUCUGGUCUGUAACUGACGCUGAUGUGCGAAAGCGUGGGGAUCAAACAGGAUUAGAUACCCUGGUAGUCCACGCCGUAAACGAUGAGUGCUAAGUGUUAGGGGUUUCCGCCCCUUAGUGCUGCAGCUAACGCAUUAAGCACUCCGCCUGGGGAGUACGACCGCAAGGUUGAAACUCAGA